GUGACACAUCCUCUCUAGGUAUAAAGAUUCUGGUGUGUUUGCUUCCAGCAUUUUCCUCUGCACUCACAGAUGCUCAUCUAAGUAAAAGCAGCAGCUCAGGGGUAAGUAGUUGUAAUGGUCAACUUUAUGUGUUACCUUGGCUAGACCAUGGUACCCAUAAAUUUGGCUAAACACUACUGUAGAUAUUUCUGCAAAGGCGUUUUCUUUUAGAUGAGAUUAACAUUUAAAUUAGUAGACAUUGAGUAAAGCAGAUUACCCUACCUAACGUAGAUGAAUCUCAUCCAAUCAAUUGAAGGCCUGGAAUGAAGAGGGAAUUCUAUCUCCAAACUGUUUUGAAAUCCAACUGCAAAUCUUCCCUUGGUCUCCAUCCUGCCAAUAAACCCAGCAGAUGUUUAACUUGUCAGUCAUAUCAUGAAAUUAUGUCAGGGAGUGAGAGACACCUGGCUAGCUGGGCAGAGGAUCCAGAACAUGGAGAGUGAACCUGGGAAAAACUUGGAGUGCAGAUGGUUUAUUUUAUCUACACCAGCCUACUUCCUUGUUUUCUACUGGGCUUCAACCACUGGAUGGAACUUCUUUACACCACUGUUUAAUAGCUUCGUUAUUCCAGUGAACAGGAAAGGUUGAAGAGAAGGAACUCUGGAAGCUGGAAUAAAGAACUUUUUUUUAUACUGCUGUAUGCUUAGCCUCUGGUUCUGGAAGACCUUUCCACCACACCUCUUCUGGAAAAAAAAAAAAAAAAAAAGAAAGAAAAGAAAGAAAAGUGAAAACACCUUACUGUUGGUCUGGAGGAAACAUGGAACUAAAAGAAAUCCUCAAGGACUAGAAAAUGUGUGCUUUUUCUCUUGAGAAGAAUGUGCAUGACUCUGUUCCCACCACACUCAGAACAAUUCUAAAUUCUUUAACUCCUUCAUUCUUUCAAUUAUGUCUGGGAAUCAGAAGAAUCAUCUAGAAAUGAUUAGAUCAGAGCAGUUCUCAAAUGUGAAGUCCUAGAAGAAUCUUAAGGCAGCCACACUGCUUAAUUAUAACCAAACAUCCUUAAAUAAAUGUGUAUCCAUUGUUGAUGUUAAAUUUUAAAAAAGAAGUAUACUCACUUAUGUCCUUCUCGGCAAUUAAUAAACUUCAAUCUUCAGAGCCCAGAGACAAAAACAAACAAAAACAACAAAAAAAAAGAUGCAAUAUAACCUAUUAGCACAAGCAAAAACAAUGUUCUAAUAGUGAAGCUUCAUGCUGCACUGAAACGUAUAAUUAUCCAUACAAUUUAAAAUUGUAUUAAAUUUUAUGCUUUAAAAAAGUCUUUCCAGAUACUUUACACUGCCCAUUGUUUUACUACUAAGUAAAUUUUCCUAUAUUUCUGCAAUGUUGUUCAUCAUUUUUAGUUUAAUUGCAUAAUUGAGAAAUUCAGGCCCAGAGAAGUAAAAAGAAAAAAAUUCCUAACUAUAGAGCAAGAUAGCAAAUAAGAGAGAUUUGAAAGCUUAGCUAUUCUAUUAUAGGCUGGUGGUUAGAUUAAUUAAGCUAUUUUAGCUCUAGAAUUCAAUAUCUUAAAGACUCAAAAGUCAGAAUUGAAAUAUCAAUUAUUACUGGAGUGUUUUACUCUCAAAGAAACUAUUGUGAUAAAUCAGUGACCCCCAAUUACUCUUAAGUAAUACUAAAAUUAAAAGCCGUAAUCUCCAUAUUUCUCUCUUUCAAGAGAAAAUGUCAAAAUACGUUAGGCUUCAACCCUUGGUAAUUAGUUUUCACAUGUGUGUAAUAUAUAUUUUAUUGGAUGAUGUAUUCUAUAAAUGAUUUAGAGAUGGUGAUUUUAAAGACUCCCAGGCAAGACCCUAACUUUGGAAGUAAGGUUACUGUCCCUACUGUGCAGAAUGAGCAGACUCCUGUGAUUUUUCAAAGAAGUCACCAGUGUUUUUAGGGGGUGUGUUUGUGUUCUCCUAAAUCAGUCUUCUGGUUCCAUUUUCCCAGGAUAUGCUGCUAUGUGGUAGACAGGAAAUAUAUUUUCUGGACAUGUUCCAAGUUGUAGAUGCUAAGAAAGAGAUGGCUAUUAAAAGAUCAGUCCAAGGGCAUGUUAUGUGAAAUGAAUCUAGAGAUGUGUUCAGAGAACCUGUGCACAGUAUAUUUAAUCUCAGAAAAAGAAUUUACAGUAAAAUUAUAGAAUCAAUACCAAUUUUCCCACCACUAGAAUCCAUCACCCUUUGUGAUCUUGGUUUCCCUGGAAAUGUUAAGAAAAUAGAGACAAGUCUGACUUACAGAAUUGGAGGAAACUUUAUUGAUCUUUUUAUCCUUCCAGCAUUAUGAGAGCAGGCAAUACAAUAUUUUAACCCAAGCUCAAAGGAGUAAACCUUUUCCAAACUUUAAGUAAGUUGGAUGUUUUCUCCAUGUAACAGUACCCUCUCCUAAAUCAACCAUCCUCCUUCUCUACCACCAUGAUAACCCACAA
Molecule: non-coding RNA, 2431 nt
Organism: Microcebus murinus (gray mouse lemur)
Lineage: Eukaryota; Metazoa; Chordata; Mammalia; Primates; Cheirogaleidae
Source: RefSeq, a predicted model, not a curated record